Molecule: non-coding RNA, 1644 nt
Organism: Labrus bergylta (ballan wrasse)
Lineage: Eukaryota; Metazoa; Chordata; Actinopteri; Labriformes; Labridae
Source: RefSeq, a predicted model, not a curated record
CAUAGUGUUUCAUGCUUUCCAGGCUUAUAUAUCUUGUGUUUUUGUCCGGUUUUGACAUUUGAUUGGAUUUUUGAUUUUGUGGAUUUGCCCUUCUUGGAUUUUUUUCUCCCUCGACUGCCUUCUUGUGUAUGACUAUGCUGAAACACUUGCCUUGAUUAAGGCAAUGGUUAAAACGGAUUCACUCUUCAGUGGGAAGAGAGCAAAAUUAGGCUGGGAGCAGGUGGUGAAGGAGAUUGGGCUAGAGGGGCAGGUGACUGCCAUACAGUCCUCAAAAAAAUGGGAUAAUUUGAAAACCAAAUACAAGGUAGGCCAAGGCAAAUCAUAUGGCUGGGCACUGUGGUGGGCUAGUGUUUGUGGAUAUUCCCUUGUACAUUCAAAACAGUCUUACGUUGGCUACCCCAGUCUUACGGAAAUUUAAUGUGCCUAUUACUUAUCUAACAUUACACAUUUGAUUAAUUUUCAACAUUUGAGGCAAUUGUGAGUAGACACAAUGUUUAUAAUAAUGCUUUUAUUUACAAAGUGCUGUACAAAGAUCAUAGACAAUACAGGGACAUGUUGAAUGGCUUGUAACUAUUCCAUUAGGCCUUUUGGUCACUGCAUUCUGCCCCAACUACCCUUUCAGUAACAUUCUUUUAUCUAUGGUGUUAAUAGUGCAAAUUAAUUUCAGAAUUGAUAGAAAAUGUAACCAGAAACCCAUGCAUUACCCUAAAAAAAAUUAAAAUAGUCAUGAUCCUGCAGUGCGGGGGGGACAUUGGUCUGGGGCUGAUGCAUGUGCUGCCAGCCUGUCCCUGAAAUGCUGACCCCCAUUCUCAUCCCCUUGUACAUGUGGUGGUGGAGGCACAGGAUCCUCUUCAUCAGCUAGCUCCAAGAUGUCCCAGCAGUGAGACAUAUGUUAUGGAGCAUUGCACACACUGCCACAACAUUCGGAGCAAAGGUGUGAUCCACUUUUAGGGCUUUGAAGAAGAUCCCUCGCCACUGUACCUUCAUGCCGAAGGCCCUCUCUACAAUGCAUCGCCCUCUGGCAUGGUAAGCAUUAUAGGGCACCUCCACUCUUCCCCUCACUCGUUCACAGUAUGGGGUAAUGAGGGUCACAGAUGUCCCCCAUCCCCAACGAUGAAAAAACCAGCUGGUGGGUAACAGCCCCUGACAAACACUGGACUAUUUCGUGGACUGAACCAGGAUAGCCCACAAAUGUCCAGAAAUUUGCCAGUGCUGUCACAAAUCGCCUGCAGCUGGACUGAGUGGAACAGUUUCCUGUUCAGUUAAUCUGGUGCAUGAGGACCAUGGGGAGCCUUAUUCGGAUGUGGCAUCCAUCAAUGGCUUCCACACAGCGGCUGAAGGCUGGGCUGUUGGCUAGGUAUUGAAAGCCAUUGCUUACUUCAGCACACUGUGUGAGAGUUGGAAAGUGGACAACUUUUUCCAGGUGGGAAAGAAGUGUGUCACACAUCCGAUGCACAACGUCAAAGACAGUUGACUUGGGGACAUCGAAGACCCGGGAGACAACAGUGCAAGAAGACCCAUGUGCCAGCCAGUAGACCACCAGGAGGACCUCCAUGAACUGCCCUCAGUGCCUCAAUCGAUGGCCUACUCAGGCGGUAGUCAAAGUUCAGAUCUCGUGUUUGAUCAAAAAAGAUCUGAACAAGG